AACAGACGGUAACUAUACCGAUAACUAAAUUAGUGUCUACACCAACAGACAGUAACUAUACCGAUAACUAAAUUAGUGUCACACCAACAGAAGGUAACUGAUAACUAAAUUAGUGUCACACCAACAGACGGUAACUAUACCGAUAACUAAAUUAGUGUCUACACCAACAGACAGUAACUGAUAACUAAAUUAGUGUCACACCAACAGACGGUAACUGAUAACUAAAUUAGUGUCACACCAACAGACGGUAACUAUACCGAUAACUAAAUUAAUGUCUACACCAACAGACGGUAACUAUACCGAUACCUAAAUUAGUGUCUACAACAACAGACAGUAACUAUACCGAUAACUAAAUUAGUGUCACACCAACAGAAGGUAACUAUACCGAUAACUAAAUUAAUGUCUACACCAACAGACGGUAACUAUACCGAUACCUAAAUUAGUGUCUACAACAACAGACAGUAACUAUACCGAUAACUAAAUUAGUGUCACACCAACAGAAGGUAACUGAUAACUAAAUUAGUGUCACACCAACAGACGGUAACUAUACCGAUAACUAAAUUAGUGUCACACCAACAGAAGGUAACUGAUAACUAAAUUAGUGUCUACACCAACAGACGGUAACUAUACCGAUACCUAAAUUAGUGUCACACCAACAGAAGGUAACUAUACCGAUAACUAAAUUAGUGUCACACCAACAGAAGGUAACUGAUAACUAAAUUAGUGUCACACCAACAGACGGUAACUAUGCGGAUAACUAAAUUAAUGUCUACACCAACAGACGGUAACUAUACCGAUAACUAAAUUAGUGUCUACACCAACAGACGGUAACUAUACCGAUACCUAAAUUAGUGUCUACACCAACAAACGGUAACUAUACCGAUACCUAAAUUAGUGUCUACAACAACAGACGGUAACUAUACCGAUAACUAAAUUAGUGUCACACCAACAGACGGUAACUAUACCGAUAACUAAAUUAGUGUCUACACCAACAGACGGUAACUAUACCGAUAACUAUAUUAGUGUCUACACCAACAGACGGUAACUAUACCGAUAACUAAAUUAGUGUCACACUAAUGGACAAUAAAUAUACUGAUAAUUAUACCGAUAAGCUGGGCAACAAGUGACUGUCUUAUUACACACAUAAUAUGGACUAAGUGUCUUCUUAACUGCUCAUCUACUCGCUCUGUUUAUCAUCCCCAUGAUUGUUUUCACGUUUCCAGGGGAUUUUAACUGCCUUUGUUCGUCCUCCAGCCGCUGACACAUGAAUCUGGAGUCAGAGGUUAAGAGCAUGUGUGCUUAAACAUGAGUUAUGGUCUACAUUAAGAUGAGAGACAAUCUCUCUUUAUCUCCUGUUUGAUUUGGACAUGUGAGGACAUGUCUCCUCUCUGGGCAUUUACUAGAUUCUGUCUCUGUUUAAUGGGACAGAUCUUCCGGUUGUGAUUUGAUUCAAUUGGUUCAGUUCUGUGGGCCGUAAGAGGUGAAACAGUUGAUGGGACUCGUAGAAACAACAUCACAGCCACUCUGGCGCUGGAUGCAUGAGGCACGACUGUAAAGACACAAAAGAUGCUUCAGUCAAAAGUGAUUGAAUGAAUAUUUAAGCACCCUUUUGUUAUGCAGCUGGAACAUAUUCUUUCAUGAGAUCAUUUAGUUCUUACAGGAAGGCUUUUUUUUAUAUAGAGAGUAAACUAGUACACUCUUGUUCCACUGCGUUACAUCGGAGCAAACACAUACAGUAGCAUUCAGAGCUUAGGACAUUUACAGUAGAGCUGGAAAUGUCACUGAUGCAACUGAAUUGUAAAUUUAGUUUUACAUUUAGAGAUAUUCAUUGCAACAAAAAAUAUAAAAACAAACGCUAAUUAAAAAUUGACAUCAAUGCAGAAACUUGCACCUGAAUGUUUGUGCUGCUUCUGCUGGAUGAGAAUAAUAACAGAGAAGCUAUCACAACACAAACACGUGAGCAUGUGCCAGGAACAACGGCACUCAUGUCACACACACUACAGAGUUCAACAUGCUCAACAUCCCUUUAAAUGCUUCUAGGUCAUUUUUAUCAAGUUAAGUGAGUUUUCUUGCAGUAUUUGUUGUGAGUGAAGGAGAAUUUCAGCAAUGCUGGUUAAAUAUUAGAUUAGUAUUAUCUCACGAACGCUUAUCUUUCCAGCUGGGCUGAGAUAAGCUUUCUCACACAUGGCACAACUCACUUUCAAAUGUUUAUCUUUAGGAUCCUCAUGAAAUGGCUUCAUGGCCCUGCUAUAAUGUAUUUCCUAUUAAAACAGGAAGUUUGCAGCCUCAAUCUGGAACCUAAUCCUCCACUAUCUACUACACAUGUUUAUUAUCAUAAACAAUCAUAAAUGAAUGAAGACUGGUAACUACUCUGAUCACUUGAUGACGAAGAUCUUCUGUUCCAGUCCAAAUAAAAUUCUAAUGUGUGUGGCUUACUUGAAUCUGUAAAAACAAUUCAUAAUAAACACCAAAAAUGAAUUAUAGUUCAUUGAAAUAAUAAGACAUUUUUAAUUCAAUGAAAUAUGAUCAUGUUAUGUUUGACCCAAACAAUAAUCUUUUACCCUCAUGUAAUUCAAAACCUGUAUGACUUUCUUUUUUCUGUGGAAGAUAAAGGUGAUAUUUUGACAGAUAUUGGGAACAAUUAAUAUUGGAGCCACGUCUGAAAAUAUCACAUUUUAAGUUUCAAAAAAGAAAGAAUGUCAGGAGUUUAAAGGAAUAGCUGCUCACCAAUGGAUACUAUGCAGUAAAUGGGUGCCGUCAGAAUGAGAGUACAAACAGCUGAUAAAAACAUCACAAUAAUCCACAACACUCAGUUACAUAAUGACUUGAGAAGAGAAAAGAUGCAUGUUUAUAAGAAAAAAUCAUGAUGUUAUUAACAUCAAACCAUUGCGUCUUGCUAAAUAUGAGUCCUUUAUCCAUAAUUAUUGCCUCAUCCAGUGAAAAAGUCUUCUAGUCUGAAUCAGAAGAGAAAUCUCCACAGAUCAAGCACUGUUUACAAGCCACAACAGUCCAAAAUAGCAUUUAACAACUAUGUGGGUGGAUUUUGAUGUGAGAGACAACAGAUGGACCUUUUCACUGGAGGAAGCCUUAUUAUGGAUUAUGCAGCGGUUACGCAGCAGUUUGAAGUUAAAGCAUCUUAAUAAUGGAUUUGUUUUUUUACAAACACACAGCUUUUCACUUCAAAAGACAUUAACUGAUGGACUGGAGUGGUGUGGAUUACUUGUGGAUUAUUGUGAUGUUUUUAUCAGCUGUUUGAACUCUCAUUCUGACGGCACCCAUUCACAACAAAUGAUCCAUUGGUGAGCAAGUGAUGGAAUGCUACAUUUAUCCAAAUCUGAUGAAGAAACACACUUGUAGAUGGCCUGGAGAUGAGUAAAUUUCACUUUUGGGUGAACUAUUGUUUUAAAUUUUGUGAGGUGGGUCAGGGUGUGAACAAAAAU
Long non-coding RNA from Carassius gibelio (silver crucian carp), 3440 nucleotides. RefSeq lists it as uncharacterized. The transcript is spliced from 3 exons. The record is from RefSeq and is a predicted model, not a curated record. Lineage: Eukaryota; Metazoa; Chordata; Actinopteri; Cypriniformes; Cyprinidae.